AUGAUAAAAAUACUUAAUCAUGCAGUAAACAACCUCUACAUACAUGGAUUAAAUUUUCUCAAAAUAAACAACCAAAGCCGGAUAUAUCAAUCUCAAUUUAAUCACGAGUUUAUAUGGUUUUACCUCGGUUAAUUUCGACUAAAUUAUGGUCACAGAAUCGUAUGAAAUAAGACAGGAGAUGAAUUCCUUGACCAUAUUUAACACAGUAUCUUUCAUGAUCACCAAAAACAAAAAAAAUAAACAAAAAAAUAAAUACAGCAUUAGAUCGAGAAGCAUGGCAUCAAUGAGAAAUUACAAAUCGUAGACCUGCUUGCCGGUGAACUUGACCUCGAUGGGGCUGGCGUUCUUCCCGAUGGACCGGAGGUUCAGGCCAACGCCGGUGCGCCCGGCGUUGACCUUCUCCGGGUAUACCCCAUCCUUGGGGUGCAGAUACUGCACCUCGCCGUUGGGGAAUACCCGGUAGAACUGGUACUUGAUCUUGUACUUGGACCGGAGGCGGGUGCCGAGGGCGAGGCACUGCUCCUUCCGGGCCAGCUUCAGCAGGUUCGGGCCCUGCCGCAUGAUGGCGGCGCCGCCCGUCGGCAUCUCGAACACCUGCUCCUUGGGGGAGUCCCACGUGAUCACGUAGAACUCCUCCACCUGCGCCUUGCGCAGGAGCCCGCCCGUGCUGCCCCCGAAGAUCGGGGACGGCGUGUUCGGGUCCAGCUCCGGCGGGGUGAACCCCGCCGGGGCUGCGGGCGCCUCCUUGGUCGGGGCCUCCUCCGCCAUCGCGCGGAUGGGGCCCCGAGCUAGGGUUUUGGAGGGCUUGAGGGAUGGGAAGUGGGCGAGGGACUGCUUCCACGGGGCCGCCACGGCGGAUUUCGGGACGGCGGCGGCGGAGAAGAGGGAGGCUUGCGUUGCCAUUGCCAUGGAUUCUCUUUUGGGUGGUGGAAAUGGAAUUGGAAUUGGAGGGUGGAAUAAUAUUUGAUGAGAAAUAAUGUUUGGGAGAUUUGGAUAUUGGGAUAAGGUGAUAUGGGUGAGACCAAUUAGAUUGUGUGAUUUUGAUACCAAGCCUUACCCUUACCCCUUGCUUUGUGGUGCCAUCUGUAUUUAUUUGGAUUUCCUAUUUUAUUUUUAUUUUUUUUGUAAUAUCUCACACUUCAUAUUUGGUCUUGUUUGACCUUCUUGUAACUAAUAAGUUCGAUAUGCCAUUUCGAAAAUACCUCCACUUAAUUCUUCAUAUAAUUAACCAUAAUACAUUACAUCUCCUUCUAUUAUUAUUGUUAAUAAAUGAUAUUUUAGAAAAUUAUGAUAUCUUAUGUGCAUGAAUAAUAUAAAAAUAAGUAAUGAGUAAUAUAAUACGAUUAGUAAUAGAAGAUCUAAUGUACUAUUACUUUAAAAACAUAGUCAUCUGAUGAGGGUGAAAUUUAGCGUAACAAGAAUUAUAUUAGAUGUUGAGUUGGCUCCGACUCUCUAUGCGAUGAUUUCUGGGAAGCUUUUGUUCAUGCUAAAAAUAAUGUGGUUUUGGAGUUUUUUCAUGCUCGUUGGGAGGUUAGUAGGGCCGCUCACGAGUUGGCUUCUUAUGCUUUGUUUUUGUCGGAUGUAAUGAUCUAAAAUACGGGUUUUUCAACCUGGCUUCUAGAUAUUGCUCUUUCUGAUCGUUCUUAAUAUUAAGCUCCGUUUCCCUUCAAAAAGAAAAAGAAUUAGAUGUUGAGCUUAAAACUCAACUCAACAUUAAGUAUAUAUAAUAUAAUAAACUUAUAUUCAAAUUUGUUGCUAAAAUUUGAGCUUUAAUAUAGUUAUUCCUUAUUAUCAAAUAAUCAAUCCUAAUAACUAAUUAUUAACUAAAACACAAGAGAUUAAAAUUAACGAAUACAAUUAUAAAAAAAAUUCGAUAUGAAUGAAACACUAGAAAGUAUAGAAUCUUAUAAGUAAUAAAUAAGGGGCAAUAAACACACAAUUGAAUAGUCGAGGUAACGUCCCUAAGGGGACACCAAGCGGUGCGAACUCUUGUAUGCGAACAAUGAGGUCUAGAGUUCAAAUCUCACCGUUCCCCCAAGUAAAAAAAAAAGUCGAGGUGACUGUUUGUACAUUUAUAUAUCUCAAUAAUAUUCAAAAUCGACUCAUUACAAGAAAAUCAUAUCACAAAAAUAACUACAAUCUCAAUCUUCUACUCGAUAAUCGACUCAUUACAAGAAAAUCAUAUCACAAAAAUAACUACAAUCUCAUAUCACAAAAAUAACUACAAUCUCAAUCUUCGACUCGAUGCAUACAUCUUUUCUAUUCAAAUAGAUACACUAUUUGGAAUUCCUUUCACAAUAAGUCCUCCUUUUUUGGAAUAAUCCGAAGUGUUGGGAUACAACAGCAUGUAAUCCAUCUUAACCGGCCCGGUUCGGUUCUUCAAUUCCGUGUUCCGGUUCAUCUCCUUUAUUCUAUCCCCAAUCCCAACCAAUGCCGCGCUGAACCGCUCGAAUGCCCGAACCGGUUCUUCGUCCCCGGUCCAAUACGGCGUCUCCCUCUGUCCAAGAUAAAUCUCGUCGGACGAAUGCCUCGACAGCAUCUCGAUCAGCGACACCCCAAGCAGCGUUUGGAACUGAGCCGUGAUCGUUUUCAGAAACGCAGCCUCUUGAUCCUCCUCCAGCUCGACGUACUCUGGGCUACCCGGUUCAGGCAUGAACCGCCGGCUCACAGUGGGCCGGUUUGGGAGAUAACCGGCAUAAGCGUACUGGCCGAAGUUCACCGCGGCGUGGAGGGCCGACGCUACCCAUAUGAUUAUGGUGCAGCACUCGAUGAGCUCGAGCCGGGUCUCCAUUUUCGGCCACCACGGCUUCUCCUUUAAGUCGCCGUGGCCGACCUCGCGGAGCUCCUUCCACCAGGACUGAAGCUCCACGUCUCCGGUCACCUUAUCGUCGGUCGGGUAGUACAAAGAGCAGUACUCCGUCACCCAAUGCUCGAUCGCGGACCAUAUUUCUAGGCCGUCCACUGCAUAGGGGUAGUCUUCUAUCACGAGCCGGAGGCCGUGCGGCUCGCUCGUAUCGGGAACCGCCACCCCUCUGCAAAAAAAUGUCAAUAAUGAAACGUUUAUUUUUCAUGAUUGAGUAUUUUAUUCUUAUUAGUAGAAACUCUCCUAUUUUUGAAUAAAAUUUAAAUUAAACAAAAAUAACUCAAAUGAUAAAAAUUAUCGCGUUAGAAUGUAAUGGUUUUCCACUGUAUACCACAUCACACAUGGCUAGUUUCCUAGCAAGCAAAAGUGUUUUCCCUCUCUUCUCUCUUUCUUUCCCACUUUAACUUUCUCGGUAACCAUUCUUCUUCAUCCAUGUCAUUAAACUCCGUUUGACUUCCUAUUAUACCCUGAUAAUAUAAUCCAUUCGUCUAAGAAACAACUUCUUAAUUUUUCAUUUUCGUUGGUUCAUAAAACAUCUUUUUCAUCCAUUUUCUAAAAUAACACUAAUAACUAUCAUCCUUACAAUUUUCAUAUAUUUACACACGUUGCCUAUUUGCCACUAAUUGAACAUCAUACUUUUCUAAUUUGUGCGACCCUUCUCCAAGCACAAUUAAAAUGCACAAUUUAUUUUUCUUAAAAUCCGUAUCCACUCCCCAUAGAAAAAUAUUUUGGUGCACGGAAGGAGUAACAAAAUUAAAAUGCAUCGAUUUAAACAACAGAUCAAUCUUACUAUUUUUAUCUAUUUAGUACCUUUUGACGAGGUCCCGGGGGAGCGCCUGGUCGGGGAAAUUCCAGUUCCUGUAGACGGCGGAGGACAUUUCCAAGGCGUAUCUUCCCGGGAAGACCGUCGUCUCGAGUAUUCCGCCGGCGUUGAUGAGCGUGUGGCGGGCCAAGGCGUUGAUGUGGAUCGUGUCGCGGAAGUGCGGCUUCAGGAGCUUGUAGAUCGGGUGGAGCCCGCUCAGCUGCCUGUUGGUUGCUAUCGCGAACGGCUCUAUCACGGCGUGCGUGUUCAACCUACAAUUUAUUUUUUAAUUUAUUUUUUAAUUUUUUUUCAAAUUUGGACUUGAUUAUGUGAUGAAGGGAAGAGUGAUAGAUUUACCAGUGGCUAAUGAGUUGGUGGUAGCCGGAAUCGUUGACGGCGGCGUAGGCUUUCGCCAGCUGCCAAAUCAUGGCCUCGACGCCGUCUCCGUCGCGCGGAGUGAACACUCUGUUCACGGCUCCGCACGAGUCCCCGUCGUCGUGCGGCAAGCUGAGCUCGAUGGCGAGUGGCCUCAACGUGCCGUCGUCUUGGAGGAGAAGGAGGGUUCGGGUGGCGUAGGUCUUCGUCGCCGUCGUGUUGAUCCGCCGCAGGUACGGCAUCAGCGCGUCGUGGUGAUCGAGUAUGAACAGCUUCUUCUUCUCUAUUGCCUGCAUUUUGCAUCAAUGGUUAAACACACCAAAUUUUUCUGUGUGCGUGUGUUGGUCUAGUUAUCGCGAAAUUGAUGUCUGAGAUCAAAUGUCUCGUGUUCGAAUUCUGAGAUCAAAUGUCUCGUGUUCGAAUUCACCGUGGCACGAUCUGAGAAGCGGUCUUAUACCUCUUCGACGGUGAGGCCGUUCAUGUUUUUCUCGAUGUGCUCUCUUGUGAUGCUACUAUCCUGAUUGCCAUAUUCUUGAGAGUCUAGUUUGCUUCUUGGUGGAAACUCCUGUGAUGUGAGCUAAAAAUCAGAAUCUAAACAAAUUUGGAUUGUUGAUCUUCUCAUAAUCUUAUAUAUAUAGUCAUAAAAUGAAAGGUUAAUUGUGUAUAAAAUACAGAGAUUCUCUUCAAAUUUGAAGUUUGGAUGAGUCCAAAAGUUCGUUGGCUAAUAACUUGAUAAUCUAGAGUCCGAUGGGCAAUUCAAAAGUACCGUUGGAAACCUCUUGAUGACAGCUCUCUAAUGAUAUACAUAAUGUUGUGUUUUGGUCACCAAAAUUUGUCGGAAAAAAGAAAAAAUACAGGGUUCAUGACUUCAACUUUAAUGUCAUGAUUUUUUGACCACUUAAUGAGACCAAAAUUAAAAAAAUACAAGUACUAUUAGAAAGAUAACGUCAAGGGCUUUUCAAGGAUAUAUUUGGAUUACCCUUCGAACUCCAGACAAUCAAGUUCUUAGUAAACGAACUUUGGGCUCUGAUUAAAUUCCAAAAAUAAUAAAAAUUAAUGUAUUUUUUUACCCAAAAAAAACAGAGUUGUUUAUUUAUAGACAAUUAACUCUAAAAAGAAAGCAUCGGUUUCGCUACCUCCAGAAUUCGAAUGAUAACAGGGUUGACUCCGGCCAACAUUUCGCGUCCGAACUCCUCAUCCGUUCUCCACGCAGUGUUAUCCGCUGCAUAGGUCCAUCACCAAACUCAUUCGAAUCAAUCUCACAAUCAAUUAAAAUGUCGCAUACCAAACUAAUACUAUAGUCUAAAAUUUAUUAAUUUACCUUCUAUAACUUGAGGGACUGGGAAGUUGAGGAACCUCUCACCAUCGGAGCGAAUGAGCUCUCUAAGCAGCUCCCAUGGAACACAGUCUUUGAUUUUGGCUAAGGAUUUAUCGUCGGGCACCUGAGUCCUCGUCUCGUAGAUGUCCAAGACAUCCUUGAACGUGUCGAAUUCGUUGAAUGUUUUGUCGAACACGGCUUUGAUCUCCGGGACUAGAACUUGCCCUACUGAUUUUAUCGCGUACCCGAUGAAAUCGGAGAAUUUCACUUGGGCGAAUUGUUCGUCUCGUGGGACGUAAAUGUUUAGGUUUAGCAGAAACAGUCUGCUCUCGGUGUUGGGAUCUGCAGUCAUCAUGGUCUGAGUGAGUGAAAAAAAAUCCCCAUUGGUACUAAUGUAGGUCACGUGGAUUGUGAUUACCUUUUUUGUUUGGUGGGCGGCCUGUCCGUGCCCUACGAGGGUAUGGAUAGGCCGACCCACCUAGCACCGGGCGGGCUUGAUCUUCGCCUUUUUCGGGGCUUCCUAGGUCGUUGUAGUAUGCAUAGUCGUACACUCUGUCCCACUCCUUGAGCUCGCCGGUGCCUUUUCCACGAAGGUUGUUUAGCUCUUGCUCUCUAUAAAAGAUUAGAGGUGGCGGCGUUUCCGAUGGUAGGUACGCCUGAUCAACAGGAACAAAAAUAUUUCCUUCUAUGUAAAUUGGGUACGAAAAUUAAGGACAAAAUGUAAAUUGAUUAAAAGUACGUGAUAGAAUUCGCAUAUUUUGAAGAGUUAAAUAUUAUCUUUUAUGAAAAUGAGACAAUAAUAGGGGACAAUUUAAAACGGCAAGUAAGACGUAAAUAUUGAGACAAAGGGAAUAUUAUACUCCACAUAAUGGUUUUAUUACUUGAUAUCUAGCUAGGUGUCUUCAAUACUUAGAAUUUGAGAUAUGGAUAUAAAGUUACAUAACCGAUCACCUAUCCACCGUGGGCAAGAAUAACGUGCCCACCACUAAUGUGACAAUUAUAAUUAAAGUAAGAUAAUUUUAAUUAGAAUAAGAUUUAUUAAUUCUCCUUCCUAAUUAACAUUGCCACAUCAGUGGUGGGCACGUUAUUCUUGCCCACGAUGGGUAGGUGAUCGGUUCUAUAUAAAGUACUUUUGAGAAAGACACGGUCGGAGUCGUAGCGACGCGUAGGAUAAACCCACGAGUCGCAUAUAAAACGGACCGGACCGUGUCCCGGGACAUGUUCCAGUGUGACGGACUUGAGGUAGAUUUGGUUACGGUGUUGAUUCCGGAUAAUAAAAGCCCCGGGAAUCCCGAGGCCCUCGUCCCAGUCGAAUUCGACGUCGUACGACGCCUCGUCUUCGGCCUUAAGUGAAGUCAACUUGGUGAUCCAAUCCACCAAGUAAGCUUCCUUUCCUAGCUUCCCUCUCUUCGGAUUAGCUGCCAAAUAAACACAAUUAGAAAAUAUUCAUUAGUACUCUUACUAAUUAUAUUCGCGUUAUUUUGGGACAGAGGAUCUCAUCUGAGUUUACUAACCCGGGUCGAAGUGUUGAGCACUGACGAGCUGCAAGAUGAUGCCUCUACCGAAGAUCUCGUAAACCCGGUCGACCAAGGACGCGCCUAUAUCGGUGCUGUCCAUCGCGUUCUUCUUCAUCAAGACGACGGAGCCUUUGAUCUUCGAUGAUCUUUCAGUCGCGGGAUCGUCUCGGGAUUUCCCGCACACGGAUCCGAGAAGCUUCUCCAUCACCUCCGAAGAAUCGCAUGGUGGGAAAAUCCCCAUUUUGAGAUGAAAAUUGUGUCACAAACUUUUUUUUUUUUUUUUGAAAUGAAGAUGCAAUGAGUUUGAUUGGGAAAAAUGGGUGGUUUUAUUAUAGAAAGAAUGCAACUGUAGUCUGUAGCAACAUUUAUGGUGUGUUUUCUUGGAAGGUAGAUGAGUCGUCUGAUAUAUGCUUUGGGCCUUUUUCAGAAUUAAUUAAUAUUACAUGCUGUUUUCACGUGGGUAAUCAAAUAGGAAACAUGACAUUUUUUGAAAGUGGGAAAUAUAAUAAUUUGAAUGAUUUUUGUCUUUGUGAAGUGGAAAUUGAUUAGUAAUUUCCAGCCUGGUCGUUGCCAUUGGAGUGUGCUGAUCUGGGUAGGUAUAAGAUUGUAAAGUGUAUAGUUCUUUAGUCUACCCAACUUCUUGUUAGAAAUUAUUUUUUAGGAUUAUAUGUUUGUAUAUUAUCUUACCAAUAUUCACAAGAAUGGUGUUUAUAAAUUAUAAGGUUAACAGUGUUUUAUUUUAUGUCCCGAACUUUCAACGUUUUACAUAAAAUGUCUCAAAUUUUUAUUUCCUCGUAAAUAACUCCGAAGUUUCCACAUUUUCCAUAUAAUAUCCUGUUAUACAAAAUCUGGUGAUGAAAAAAUGACAAAAAGCCCCGAACUUUCAGUGUUUUUCAACAGUAGUGAUUUCUAAUAUGGAUGGUUCCAAAAAUAUUUAAUCCGGCACGAUAAGUCAUCUUUCCGUCACUGAAUUUUGUAUAGCAAGACAUUUUAUAGAAAAAGCUGGAAGUUCUGAGUUUUUUAGGAGAAAAUUAAAUUUCAGAAUAUUUUAUGAAAAACGUUGAAAUUUCGGGACAUAAAACACUAUUAAUUCUAAAUUAUACUAUGUCCUAUUGGGAUAGGUUUAGUCGUAGAAUAUUUUUUCUUAAAUAUCUCAAAUUCAAAUUGCACAAUACCUUAUAUACAUUAAUCGAAUAAAAUAUGAUAUCAUAUUAAAAAAAAUGAUAUCGAUACGCAAAGCUAUACAAAUAAACUCUCAAAGAAUUUUUUUGGUACAAGUGUACUUUUAUUAUUGGCUUAAUACCGAUGUACGUUAUGACUUUUAAUUAUAUAUUUAAUAUUUAAUUACUUGAAUUAAAUACAUAAUUAUUUUAAUUAUUAAAGUAAACCUCUGUUUUACCGAACCGACCCAAUGAUCCGAUCUCACAAACCUCAGUGUGAAAGCGUUUACUUUAUGUCAUUUAUGUGAUUGUUAGAAAUUAGAAUCAUUGAACAAUUAACAAUGAUAUGCUUUUUUAAUUAUUUUUUUGGUUUGCUUAUAAUUUUUAAUUAGCUUUAGAAAAGCUUUCAUGGAUUAUGGGGAGACUUUCAUAUAAAAAACAAUAUAAUCGUGCAGGUCUUUAUAUAUUACUCCUUCCGUCCACCAAUUCAAGGCCUAGGACAAGUGUAAUUUACACUUGCCCUAGGCCUUGAAUUGGUGGACGGAGGGAGUAAAAAAAAAGAGUGUCUAAUAAAUUCAUUUUAGUUUUGAUUGGUCUAGAUAUAUAUUAUAUUGUAUUUUAAAUACCUCAAGAAGCUUCUUACUCUCUUCAUUUUUCAAAAAGUUUAGUCAAACAGCAUAAAUUAAUGGUAAAAUUAAAAUAUACUACAUUUCUACAAGUAGCACAUUAACUACUAUCUCUACCUACUAAUUAAUCACUAAUUAUUGAGGGUGUAUCCAAAUUAAUUAAAUUUUUAAUGUAUUGAUGUCAAGUUGGUUUCUGAAAUACUCAACUGCUCCAACUUUAGAGAUAACGUUGGCAUCAUUUGAUAUUUUUCUUUUGCAUGAUUGUGAGAUCUAACAAGAAAAUUACGAUAAAUGUAAGUGGACAUAUUAGCAACAAGCUAAACACUAGCCCAACUUGCAAAGGCAUCUUCGUAAAGUAUGUUAUCUUGUUUUUUGUUUUAAAUAAUAUUUGUACUAAUAAAUAAUAUAUAUAUAUAUAUAUAUAUUUUAAAGAUUACAAGAGACAUCUAAUAUAUGUAAUGAAAGUGAUAAAGUAUGAGAGAUAAGGUAAUAAUUUAUUACAUUAUUUGGAAAUGUGUCAAGAUUCGUGGGAAGGCCCAAAAAGGAAAACGUGUCAAGAUUCGUGGGACGGAGGGAGUAUAUUUUAAAGAUUACAAGGGACAUCUAAUAUAUAAUUAAAUCAGCAAUCCGCAUGCAGGUGGGACCUCUACACCACACAAAAAAUGGGAAAACAACACAAAAUAUAUUAUCUUAUUGGAAAGUCUUAGCACUACUUUGUAGUUGGCACUACAAACUUUCGAAGAUGCUCAAGUUAAUGUGAUCGCUAAUUAAGUAUCACUACACAAAAAAAAAAAAUCAAGUUAAAUUUAGACACCUAGAAAAUUAAUAUGGAGCCUUCUAAUUAUAUUUUUAAUAGGAAAUAAAAUGUUAUACUAUAUUGAUAAUAUUUAGAAGAACUAUAUUGUAGGUAUGGCUCUCUUUUAUUAAUACUACUUUAAAAGAAUCNAUAUAGUAGUAGACGACUAUAUAUAUAUAUAUAUAUAUAUAUAUAUAUAUAUAUAUAUAUAUAUAUUGAGAUAUUGAAUAUUGAAUAAUUUAGUAUUUUAUUUCUCUAUACAAAUUAAUAUGUAUGUAUGUUAAUAACUUAGUUUUUAUAAAUGUUGUGUUAUAGUAUAUAUCACAUGCGUAAAAUCAAAUCAAAUCUAGACACAUCAAAAUUAGAAAGAGAGAUAGUUUCAAGUUGGACCAACAUUUUUUAGGCUCGAUAUAUUUUUUAUUUGGGCUUAGUUGAUUUUGGACAGGUAGGCCCAAUUCUAUUAUUGACAAGCCCAAAUAUCUACAAUUGUUCAUCAAAAGGUUUAUGAUGUCGAAAAUCAAUUAUGAUUAGCUGAUAAAUUCGAUUACAUAAAUUGUAAUUAUUUUAUCAAUUAAGUUAAAUAAAAGAACAGUGAUUAUAAUUAGAAUAGCACCCUAUCAUAACCAACGACAUAUAAUAACAGAAAAUUAUAGUCAUAUGAAUAAAAAUGUAGAAAUACUAAUCAUUUGUUGUGUUAAAAUGACUUUAUUGCCCUUAGAAAAACUUCAUCGCACACGAAUUAUAACGAUUUAUAUUCCUUUAUACGAUUACAUGAAUCGUAUAAUUCAUGUAACAAUAUUAACUAAACUGUUACACGAUUUUGUGUUGCAAAAUAUAUUGUAUAAAUCAUGUAAAAUAAUGAGGGUGAAACAAUAACAUUGGCUACUAUUUAUAAUUGAGGAGGUCUUACUAUGCAACGGGGUUACACCUACACCUAGAUCAUGAUCCGCACCUUGAUUUGAACUUAUAAUCCGACCCGAAUCGUAUAAAUAACAAUGUUAUGGGUACGAGUCAACCCGAUUACGGUACAACCGAUUGUACACAAGUUUUUGUGUUCAUAAUUUUAUAUAUAUCCUGCUCAUGCUUAGAUCAUAAUUUUAUGAGGUGUUUUUACAUACUCCCAUCGUCUCACAAAAAUAUGAACAUUUUUCAAUUUUGGGGCGUCUCAUAAAAACAUGAAUAUUUUUAUGUUUGUACACUACCUCACCACAACCAUUUGGAGUACUUUUUAUCUCUACUUUUUUUAAAGUAAGACUCAUUUUUCACUCACAAUACAUUUUUAUCUAAUAUUUUUUAAAACCCGUGCCACUUACAAAUGUUCAUGUUUUUGUGAGACGGAGAGAGUAUUUUUUUUCUUUUUAGAAAAAUGAACUGAAUCGAAUAACAUGGAAAACAAAUCAAAUUGAAUAAUUUGAAAAUGACAUCGCAUCAAUCGAAUUUACUAUUCGAAAUCAAAUUAAAUACUGAUUCGAAUAUUAGAAUAUUUUCACGAAUGUAAAUCGAACAUGACAAUAUUCACUUCGAUUCGAUUACAACCCCAGUUACGUAGCAUGACAAAAACCAUAACAACUAAUAAUGUAAUAAAAGAAUACUCAUUCUACCAGGUGGUGAAAUCAAAGCUGUGACACAAUCAAAAAAUAAAUAAAAAAUUGAUCAAGUUCAUAUAGAGAUGCUGUUGGGAAUUCCCUUCCCAGUAAGGCCUCCCUCUCUACUAUAAUCAGAGGUGUUCGGGUACAGCAAGGUGUACUGCACCUCCACCGGCCCAUGCCGGUUCUUCAACGCCCUGUUCCCAUUCCUCUCCCUUAUCCUCCUCUCCACAUCAACCAGCGCCGCCCCAAAUCUCUCAAACGCCGCCGCCGCCUCCUCGCCGCUCCACCCGCCGUCUCUCUGACCGAGAUACACCUCGUCCGUCGAGUGCCUCGACAGUAUCUCGAUCAGAGAGAUCCCGAGCAGCGUCUGCAGCUGCGCAGUGAUGGUCUUCAGGUAGGCCAGCUCGGGCUCCCUCUCCAUCUCGGCGAACUCGGCGCUGCCCGGCUCGGGCAUGAACCGGCGGCUCACGGUGGGGCGGUUCGGGAGAUACCCGGCGUAAGGGUACUGCCCGAAGUUGACGGCGGCGUGGAGGGCCGACGCCACCCAUAUGAUGAUCGUGCAGGACUCGAUCAGCUCGCGCCGCGUCUCCAUUCUCGGCCACCACGGCUUCUCCUUUAAGUCGCCGUGGCCGACCUCGCGGAGCUCCUUCCACCAUGAUUGGAGCUCGGCGUCGCCGGAAACGGCGUCGUCGGUGGGGUAGUAGAUGCAGCAGUAUUCGGUGACCCAGGCUUGGAUUGCGGACCAGAUUUCCAAGCCGUCGACGGCGAAAGGGUAGUCUGGUAUUAGGAGUUUGAGGCCGUGGGGCUGC
Molecule: long non-coding RNA, 11855 nt
Filed under: Salvia miltiorrhiza (redroot sage)
Lineage: Eukaryota; Viridiplantae; Streptophyta; Magnoliopsida; Lamiales; Lamiaceae
Description: long non-coding RNA (SMIL_LNC010335)
Source: RNAcentral